Molecule: non-coding RNA, 3759 nt
Organism: Anas platyrhynchos (mallard)
Lineage: Eukaryota; Metazoa; Chordata; Aves; Anseriformes; Anatidae
Source: RefSeq, a predicted model, not a curated record
CACGAAGGCUCUCAUUGGUUUCUGCAGUCCUGGUCUCAGCUAGAACCACUUACAAAUGCAAAUACAAGGGAAUACCUGGUUCUUUGUUAGCCAUUUCUCUCACAGCAAGUGUAACCUAUUAGGAAACCUGUCAUCAGCUGUGCAGUAAAAGCUCCUGUUCUGCAGAUCAAGUCACUUCCUUGAUAUUUCAGAGAUCUUGUAGCAAGAAGAAGAAAAGAAAGCUUAUGAGCGAACAUCCUGGGAAGCUUUCAAGGGAGGAUUCUGAGACAGAGUGGCCGGGACAGCAUGCAGGUGGUACCGAUGCACAUGGACGAGGUAGUUCCUACCCAGGGACUGUCUCCAUGUCUGCAGCCCAGCAGAGACAGCACUGCCUCAAUCAUGCCUGGAUGUUCACACUCCUUCGGGAAGUCCUGCAGUCUUCAGAAAUGAUUGGUGCGCCUGCCCUUUCAUAUGGAGAAUUAACUGUUCUCAGCUGUGCCUUAUGAUUCCUGGUGGUGUGCUAUUAAAGAGGCUUCUGGCCCCAGAACCGAGUCACAGACAACAUCAUCUGUACUGAUGUGCAAGCAGACAUGUUUAAAAGGACCUCAGCUCAGCAUGGAAAUCCGCAUGUCCUUGAGGCUGUUGUACUUCACUGAGUGGAGGCAAAACCCAGCUGAUUUUCCACACCUCCCCCAGACCUACUGGCUGACCAGCAGCAGCAGCAGCAGCCUGCCUGUGGCGGUGCCUCUGGGCACGAGGAUGUUGGUGGAGUAACCUGACAUUGAUGAAGAUACCCUAAAAGGCAGCGAGCCCUACCCUGUGUUGUGACCACCUGUGGGGUUUGGCCCAGCUGGAGAUGCUGCUGGAGGGGUCCCCAGGCCCAAGAGGAGCACUGCUGCAAAAGGGUGGGUGCUGAGCCUAGGGGCUGCUGGAGGAGGCAUCUUGGAUGGGCUCUGCAGGAGAUGCUGGCAAACACAGAAAGAAGAGAACUUUCUUUCCUGUCCCCCUGAGCUACAGGACAAUGCUUCUGUAACCUUACAGUAAAACUGAGUCCCUGGGAGAAGAACUGGGCUACCACAGCUUCUUGUUACCACAAAAUGCUGAGAUGUUCUAACUCCAGCUAAUCAGCACACUCACGGAAAGGAGGACUACCCAAAGAGCCAGUGAUGCUGUCUCCUACCCAGAAGAUAUACCUUGAUGUUUCUUCUCUCUAAAGAACAGAUACAUCUUUGCCAUGUGUUGUCUGUGGAUGAAGGUGCACUCCACUGAAGCAGUCCUUUCUGAGCUACUGACUGGAAAUUGAGUUUGGUGGCCACAUCCAAGAACUUGCCAUGCAUGUGGAUCACCAUUCCCGUGGGCAGAAGUGCUGGAUUUAGGCAGCAGAAUGGCUUCUUGGAAUUCCUUGGUCACGAAGUAGUAGCAGACGCUGUCCAGGCAGCAGUUGGACGUGGCAAUGCACCUCGUCAGGGCAAAGAAGUCCAUCAUGACCUGCUUCAGGAAACAGCUAGUUCCAACAUACUCCAUUAUGAACCUGAAAAGUACCCCAAGAAGAACACCCACAGAGCAAGGGCAUUAAAUAUUGAUCCAAAAAAGAAAAUGAUGAUAUACAGAGCAAAUUCAGUGAGACGGACGUGGCGAUUCACUUCUACGCCUGUUACACUGCAGUUGUUGGACUCAUUCAUUGUCCUGAUGUGUGGAUGGCAUGUGAUGUUAUGAGACCUGAAAUGCGGAAAAAAUGGUUAAGACUUUUCUCCUACCUCUUAAGAGAUGCAUGGCUUCUAUAAACAAAAGACUAGUUCUGAUGCCUCCUGCCCAAGAUGGAGAAACUAACAGUCCUUUCCUCCCCACCUCCUCAUCCUCUGUGACUUCACCAACUGGUUGUGAAGUGCCUGAACUGGUCCAUGAAAAGGAUGCUGGAAGUAGGUUUUGAAAUUAUUUAGAAGAUGAUUUCCUCUCUCUGCUUAGCAGAGAUCAGGGUGAGAUGGACUGUGGUUCUCUGGAUGCUGUUUCCUGCCUUUCCUGGAAAGAGGGAGAGCAUUUGAGUAAGCCAGCAGUGCCAGAGGGAAGAGCCUGCUCACAUGCACACCUGGCUGGAAAAGGAGAGGAGAAGAGCAGCAGAAGAAAAUGCCUUUGGGCAGGGAAGAAGAAAGGAACAGGGUAAGCUUUCCUGUGGAAAAUGCCAACUCCACCUCUACAUGCUGCUGUCCCCAAAAAUCUGGGUAUGGUGCAGUACUUUGUGCCUGGGACAGGAGCAGCUACAAACAGAAAUGCUGCACCUUAGUGUCUGCGUGCUGCAGCCUCUUGACGCUGUGGAGUAUUUGUGGUGACAGAGGGGAAGUAGAAAGGAGAUGACACGUGUCACUGGUACACAAGGUUGUGAGCUCUGAACUGCUGAGAGGAAAAAGCCACAGGCUGGUGGGACAAGUAACAGAUCCCCACAGCUUUGUGAGAAGUGAUGCUUCAGGGUAACAGUGGCCUUCAACGUCAUGAUGGAAAGGCUGCAGUGGAAACCAUCACAGCAGGGUGUUUCCCUUCCAGGGGAAACUUGCAGAUAAGCGUGUUGGUGUCCGCAGGGUGAGAAGAUGGUGUGGAGAUGUGUCUCAUCAGCACUGGCUCUGCAGAAACCCGGCUGCCACCCCAGGGAGCCAGGCUGCCCCUGCCUGGGGGGGUCACACCCAUAGCCCUGUCGUGGAGGGGCUGGGCACCCACAUGGAGACAUGUCGGGGGGCACAAAGGGGCGCUGCUGUGGUGGACAGGGCCAAAAUCACCCCUCGAGCUCCUCUUCAGCUCAGCUCACCUUCCCUGGCCUGCCUGCCAGUUACCUGUGUGAGGACACCUCUGUCUCAGCACUGCCGGGAUGAGGACACAGGGCCUCCCGGGCAGCGUUCGGCAGCACAGCGAGUUGUUCUGCCAAAAAGCCUGAGGGGGACCAAGAAACAGUCAGCUUGCCCCACAUACGCAUCCACAACCACGUCCUGUCUCUGCAACUCGACUGACAGAACCGGGCUGCAGCGAGCAGCUUGCCCCAGCCGUGCCCACCGCCUGUCACUCCCACAGAGGUCCCCUCCCCAGUCAGGUGGGCACAAGUGCUCUGGUUUCUCCUGCUCCCUGUGUUUGUGGGGAAAUUGAAGCCGUCAGCCUCGGCCCUCCCCAUGCCGUUGGUGCCCGUGCUCAUUCCGACAUGUGGGCUCGUUUCUGGCCCUGCCGUGCGAGGUAGGAUGGGGGGAGCGGUGACUCACGAGUCACAGGGCUGCCACACACCUACAUGUCUCACCGCAUGGCGGUGGCCUCGAAGCUGCUGUGUAAUGGGGCCGCCCACGUGGUGGGUGCCUGGCCUAGCCACGAGUUCCCCUGUGGGGCUCUGAAGGCAGUUUGGGGCAGGUGGGGGCAGAAACGCAGUCCCUAGUGAGACAUGGUGCUGUUCAGGGCCAGGGGACGACGCAUCCCUGUGUGAGCGACCUGUCUGGGCCACAUGGCAGCUCUGGGUGUUGGGAAGAACAGCUUUGGGCUGAGGAGGAGAGCAGAGAGCAAGGUCUUUGAUACUGACUUUGCAGUGGCUGGACUGCUCUGCUCUAUGCCAGCUCCCCGUGAAAGCUCUCCCGGUAGUCUGGAGGACGGGUCACCUCCUGCCCACCCCAAGCAGGGCAGCACUUUCAGCAAGUCCUGCCAGCGCUCGGCAUGAUGCCACAGAACGAGGCUCGGGCAAGCUUCACCAGGAGCAGUUUGCCUGCUCCAGCAUACAGGGAACUUCAGUGCAUGAAAUAAAACCAGGAAAAUCCA